Molecule: ribosomal RNA, 2801 nt
Filed under: Triticum aestivum (bread wheat)
Lineage: Eukaryota; Viridiplantae; Streptophyta; Magnoliopsida; Poales; Poaceae
Description: partial small subunit ribosomal RNA
Source: RNAcentral
CGCCCUUGUUUGCACGCAAACCACAGAGUUAUGGUGAAUGAGACAUGCAUGGCUCCAUCUGGUUGAAGGCAUAUGAUAGCUAGGCUAGUCGACGGGUGAAGAGGCCUCCAGCUGCUUCCAGGCAGCUGCCAACCGCUGUCAGCUUCAGCUUGCCCCCAAACACCAGGUACCUCUAAACUGUUGCUGACUCCAGAUUCCAGAUCAGGAAUGCCGCCACAAAUCAUAACAGCAGAUUACGAAUGAACAAAUUAAGAUGUGCAACCUAAGAAUUUCCCGAAAGGCAGAAAAGUGCACAGUUAGGGUUUAUGGUUUAGGUCUACAUCAGCUUAAAGAACUUGUUAGGGCAGCAAAAUUGAUCAAACAACACGUUAUGCAGAUGCAAAGAUUCCCAUUCUUUUUCUCUGGAAGACGUACAGCUACAAUUCGAAAGGGACUAAACAAGCAAACAAGCAAGUCUGUUCCUAUCAAACAGUCAUGGCUAUAGACAUGUUAGUCUGUUUAUAUGCUGACCGUUGAAUGGUUCAACACACUGAUGUGGUCCCUGUCUACAAUCCCCUACCACUCUUCCACCCUGUUAGCCAUCACAGGAACCCUAUUGCAAGUUUCCAACUCAGACUCGGUUUCAAGUUAACGCGUGCAAGCAAAAAAUCGUAACAAAAAUGGCAGUGGCGAGUACCUCUUCGUCUCUCCGCCUCCUGCCUCUCCUCCUCGUACUCCUACUCACUGCCACCAGCGAGGCCACCACAUUCAAAAUCAUCAACCAAUGCUCCUACACCAUGUGGCCAGCCGUUCUGCCGGGAGGUGGCGUGAAGCUCGAUCCGGGGGAGACGUGGGAGCUGAACGUGCCCGCUGGUACCUCAGCAGGGCGCAUCUGGGCGCGCACAGGCUGCUCACUCCUUGGCAAAGGCGGGUCAUGCCAAACUGGCGACUGCAGCGGCUUGCUCACCUGUACGGUCAGUGGUAGAUCGCCAAACACGCUGGGCGAGUUCAGGCUUGGCCAAGGCCAAAGUGAUGAUGAUUUCUUCGACAUCUUGCUCACUGAUGGCUUCAACGUGCCCAUGGACUUCCUGCCGGUGCCGGUUCAGGGAAAGUCAGGGUGCAGCAAGGGGCCGCGCUGUGCAGCCAACAUCACAUCGCAGUGCCCAAGAGAGCUGAAGGCUCCGGGAGGGUGUAACAAUCCAUGUAUUAGGAGCGCAGAAAGCAAUUGCAGUUACACAAUUAACUCGGUCUUCUUUAAGCGGUUGUGCCCAGAUGCCUACAGCAAUCCCAACGAUUUUUCCACUUUCACUUGCCCGACGGGCACAGACUACCAGGUCAUCUUCUGUCCCCUGAUUAAUCAAGCAAUAUCGCCUACAGCUGAAAGUCCCCUGCCUGCGCCCCCCGCCAAUGUAACACCUCCGACCCCAGGUACUCUUCCUGCAGCUAUUGGGCCAGCAAGCAUGAAACUGAAAUCUGCCUCUGUAAGAAUAGUUGUUGCAAUUCUAGCUCCUGUAGGCGGCUUCAUUUUGUUCACCAUCAUGAUCCUCAGCAUCUUCUUUAUAUGCAAACGAAGAACACAACGACAGAAUGAGAUGGAAGAAGAAGAAGAGUUUGGGGAGCUACAAGGUACACCAAUGAGGUUCACAUUCCAACAGCUAAAAGCAGCAACCGAGCAAUUCGCAGACAAGCUCGGGGAAGGAGGAUUUGGGUCUGUUUUCAAGGGACAAUUUGGUGAUCAAAGGAUUGCAGUGAAACGUUUGGAUCGAACUGGUCAGGGCAAAAGUGAAUUUUCAGCAGAGGUUCAGACAAUUGGCAGCAUUCAUCAUAUUCAUCUGGUGAGAUUGAUUGGUUUCUGUGCAGAGAAAUCCCAUAGGCUCUUGGUAUAUGAGUACAUGCCCAAAGGAUCCUUGGACAGAUGGAUUUAUUGUCGACAUGACAAUGAUGCCCCUCCUUUAGAUUGGAGCACGCGGUGCAAGAUUAUAACUCACAUAGCUAAGGGCCUCUCUUAUCUUCAUGAGGAGUGCACAAAAAGAAUUGCUCAUUUGGAUGUCAAACCGCAAAAUAUUCUCUUAGAUGACAACUUCGAUGCUAAACUUUCUGAUUUUGGACUAUGCAAGCUCAUCGACAGGGAUAUGAGCCAAGUGGUUACCAGAAUGAGAGGCACACCUGGAUAUUUAGCUCCUGAAUGGUUGACAUCACAGAUCACGGAAAAGGCGGAUAUCUACAGCUUUGGCAUCGUGGUCAUGGAAAUCAUCAGUGGAAGAAAGAACCUUGACACUUCCCGGUCAGAAGAGAGCGUCCAUCUCAUCACCCUAUUGGAGGAAAAGGUGAAGAAUGAUCAGUUGGUAGAUUUGAUUGACAAUAACAGUAACGACAUGCAAGCACACAAGCAAGAUGUAAUUCAGAUGAUGAUGCUUGCAAUGUGGUGCUUGCAGAUUGAUUGCAAAAAAAGGCCUAAAAUGUCCGAAGUCGUCACAGUCCUAGAAGGUGCCAUGGAUGUUGACACCAACAUAGAUUAUAACUUUGUCGCAACAGGUCGAGCUAAUUUUGGUAAUGAUGGAAGUGUGAACUCCUCAGCUCCACCUGUAGGCUCAGAUCUAUCAGGGCCCAGGUGAAAUGAGACCGUCCCGAGAAGAUAUCCAAUUAGAUUGUGAGCAGUAGAUUUUGUUACUUGGAACAAAAGCCCUGAUCUGUAGUAUUUAUUUGCUGAAAUUACUACAAUUUUAAACCCCUAUCUCGGGUUAUUUUUAUCUGCAGAAUAUCUUAAUAUUACAAAUUUUCUGUGAUCUAUACCAUACAUAAACUCAUCUUGUAUUCCUGUA